AGUGAACCAGUACCGUGAGGGAAAGGCGAAAAGAACCCCGGCGAGGGGAGUGAAAAAGAACCUGAAACCGUGUACGUACAAGCAGUGGGAGCACCCUUUGGGGUGUGACUGCGUACCUUUUGUAUAAUGGGUCAGCGACUUAUAUUCUGUAGCAAGGUUAACCGUAUAGGGGAGCCGGAGGGAAACCGAGUCUUAAUUGGGCGUUAAGUUGCAGGGUAUAGACCCGAAACCCGGUGAUCUAGCCAUGGGCAGGUUGAAGGUUGGGUAACACUAACUGGAGGACCGAACCGACUAAUGUUGAAAAAUUAGCGGAUGACCUGUGGCUGGGGGUGAAAGGCCAAUCAAACCGGGAGAUAGCUGGUUCUCCCCGAAAGCUAUUUAGGUAGCGCCUCGUGAAUUCAUCUCCGGGGGUAGAGCACUGUUUCGGCUAGGGGGCCAUCCCGGCUUACCAACCCGAUGCAAACUGCGAAUACCGGAGAAUGUUAUCACGGGAGACACACGGCGGGUGCUAACGUCCGUCGUGAAGAGGGAAACAACCCAGACCGCCAGCUAAGGUCCCAAAGUCAUGGUUAAGUGGGAAACGAUGUGGGAAGGCCCAGACAGCCAGGAUGUUGGCUUAGAAGCAGCCAUCAUUUAAAGAAAGCGUAAUAGCUCACUGGUCGAGUCGGCCUGCGCGGAAGAUGUAACGGGGCUAAACCAUGCACCGAAGCUGCGGCAGCGA
Molecule: ribosomal RNA, 721 nt
Filed under: Salmonella enterica subsp. enterica serovar Senftenberg
Lineage: Bacteria; Pseudomonadati; Pseudomonadota; Gammaproteobacteria; Enterobacterales; Enterobacteriaceae
Description: bacterial LSU rRNA
Rfam family: Bacterial large subunit ribosomal RNA
Source: RNAcentral